Lepisosteus oculatus (spotted gar) is the source of this 119-nucleotide ribosomal RNA. NCBI's taxonomy places the organism in Eukaryota, Metazoa, Chordata, Actinopteri, Semionotiformes, Lepisosteidae. The record is from Ensembl.
GCCAGCAGCCAUAUCACUCUGCAACUCACAACUGGCAGCCCACUGAAACUAAGCAGGUGUGAGCCUGGUCAGUACCUGGAUGGGAGACCUCCUGGGAAAAACUAAGGUUGCUGCUGGAA